UUCCCGGUUUUCCCCACCUAGUUGAAAGUUCAAGAUCUCACCCGCAUACCCACAAGUCCAUCACGUGGUCCAAUUUCCCCCUGCCAUGAUGGCAAUUGCUCCCAUCCAGUUCCGGUCAGGUGCAGAGACAAAGGAUGACCUUGGCUUUCUAGAAAGGAUUUUGCUAUGGCUACUUCUCAUCUAAUUCCGUACAAUCUCCCCCCUCCCAUUUUCCCACCAUAGAAAAGGCAUAGUAAAACAAUAGAUUAAUAGAAAGUUUGACUUUGACACCCCCUGUCUUAGAGGAACCUGUAAGGGUCUUCGAUACCGCUGGCCUCCAGUCUUGUUUCUCCGGUUCCCAGAGCAAUCCGAAUUCCUACUCAUUCAAUAUUCCCCUCACUUCCUUUUUCUUCCUCCAGUGGCUGGAUUUUGGCCCUCUCCGCGACCCCAAACCUGGCCGUGAAGAUUAUCAUGAUGGUGGUCGCAAUGUUCUUCACCACUUGCGCCGUGCUCUCUCUCUUCCUGCUGAAACGAGUCCACUCGCUUUAUCGCCGGACAGGCGCCAGCUUCCAGAGAGCGCAGGAAGAAUUCUCCCAGGGCAUCCUCACCAACAGGAACUUUCAGUCGGCCGCCGGUGGGGCAGCUUCCGCCGCGGCUCAGAAUGCUUUCCGGGGAAACUGAGCCCGACCCCAGCGAGGCUCCUGCUUCCAUUCGUACACGUGACUCUGGUUUCAAAAUAAAGUUUGAAGAGAAAAGGGUCUGGUUUUAGCCCAGGCUCCUUUGAGGCAGAAUGGAUGACAGGCGGCUGCGUCGAAAAAAAAUCGCGAUUCUCGUUUUAUUCAACCCCAAAGCUUUGAACGACAGCCGUUAAAAAAAACACCUUUUUGAGGCUCCCCCUCAAGAGGCCCAUUUUGAGUUCUCUGCAAAACGAAUCAGUGUAAAAGGAAAACUUUGAGAAGAUCCCUCCUCAUCUGAUAGGCUGGAUCGAUCGAUCGACUUGAAAUUGGGGAUAUAGCUCUCAAAAAACACUAAACACUUUGAUUACUUCUGUAAACCUUAAUUAAAGCCAUCUCAGAAGCACACCUAAGGCUUUUAAAUAUCUUUUUAAUAGAUCCAAUGAAGGAAGAGCAUUCAGAGAACUUAGAUGAGGUUGCAAUUUCCCUAACCCUUGCUUUUUAAUCAUUUAGGUAAACCUUGGGUGUCUUUCUCCUCCCCAAAAAUACAUAGGUGUUUGGGCUGAGGUGUUUCCCCACCACCACCACAGAUGUUUCCAAACUUUUGUGAGAUCGGAUGUACCCUGGUGCAUCAUCUCUUGGUUUCUGUCUUCUUUUUUAUUUUUUUAUUCUUCUUCUUCGAAGAUAUGUAAUGAUGGCAGAAAUGAGAUUUUUUUAAGAAAGGAAAAACCUUCCCUUCU
Molecule: non-coding RNA, 1393 nt
Organism: Thamnophis sirtalis
Lineage: Eukaryota; Metazoa; Chordata; Lepidosauria; Squamata; Natricidae
Source: RefSeq, a predicted model, not a curated record